RNAcentral lists this ribosomal RNA (656 nucleotides) under Salmonella enterica. RNAcentral describes it as "bacterial SSU rRNA". It matches the Rfam family "Bacterial small subunit ribosomal RNA", at positions 1 to 646 of the family's 1533-position model. The record is from RNAcentral. Lineage: Bacteria; Pseudomonadati; Pseudomonadota; Gammaproteobacteria; Enterobacterales; Enterobacteriaceae.
AAAUUGAAGAGUUUGAUCAUGGCUCAGAUUGAACGCUGGCGGCAGGCCUAACACAUGCAAGUCGAACGGUAACAGGAAGCAGCUUGCUGCUUCGCUGACGAGUGGCGGACGGGUGAGUAAUGUCUGGGAAACUGCCUGAUGGAGGGGGAUAACUACUGGAAACGGUGGCUAAUACCGCAUAACGUCGCAAGACCAAAGAGGGGGACCUUCGGGCCUCUUGCCAUCAGAUGUGCCCAGAUGGGAUUAGCUUGUUGGUGAGGUAACGGCUCACCAAGGCGACGAUCCCUAGCUGGUCUGAGAGGAUGACCAGCCACACUGGAACUGAGACACGGUCCAGACUCCUACGGGAGGCAGCAGUGGGGAAUAUUGCACAAUGGGCGCAAGCCUGAUGCAGCCAUGCCGCGUGUAUGAAGAAGGCCUUCGGGUUGUAAAGUACUUUCAGCGGGGAGGAAGGUGUUGCGGUUAAUAACCGCAGCAAUUGACGUUACCCGCAGAAGAAGCACCGGCUAACUCCGUGCCAGCAGCCGCGGUAAUACGGAGGGUGCAAGCGUUAAUCGGAAUUACUGGGCGUAAAGCGCACGCAGGCGGUCUGUCAAGUCGGAUGUGAAAUCCCCGGGCUCAACCUGGGAACUGCAUUCGAAACUGGCAGGCUUGAG